Long non-coding RNA from Ricinus communis (castor bean), 699 nucleotides. RefSeq lists it as uncharacterized. Lineage: Eukaryota; Viridiplantae; Streptophyta; Magnoliopsida; Malpighiales; Euphorbiaceae. The transcript has 3 exons. The record is from RefSeq and is a predicted model, not a curated record.
GAUACUUGAAAAGCUAAGUUGUCUAUUCUUGAGCUAAACAUAACUUUUUUUAUUUUCUUAUUUUGUUAACUUUCUCAAUUUCUAUUUCUAUGUUAGUACUUCUACCUCAUCUCUACCAAACAUUACUUUUGAAGUAACUCUACCAUGCAACUUAAUAAAAUUAAAGAUUAGCUACUAACCCUAUCAUGAAAUUAUUUAGAGUUGAGAUAGAGGUACGGACCUAGGAAAUAGAAAUUGAGAUGGUAAACAAAAUAUAGUUUGAUGAUAGUUAAUUAGAAAUAGAAAAUUUAUAAACUCUAAUUUGUAUAUUUGUGACUAGAUAACCCGGAGUCAUUAAGUGCGGCGGAUGGAGGUUAGCUCUGGAGCGUCUUACUGUGUGUAGUAUAUUACACAUAUAUAUUGGAGCUCGAAGAACAUAAGAUUUGUCUCGGCACAUGUUAAGUUGAUGAACUGAUUAUCAGUUAGAAGCUGAUACUUGAAAAGAUAAGUUGUCUAUUCUUCAGCUAAAUAUAACUUUUUUUUUCUUAUUUUGUUAACUAUCUCAAUUUCUAUUUCUAUGUCAGUACUUCUACCUAAUCUCUGCCAAACAUUACUUUUGAAGUAACUCCACCAUGCAACUUAAUAAAAUUAAAGAUUAGCUACUAACCCUAUCAUGAAAUUAUUUAGAGUUGAGGUAGAGGUACGGACCUAGGAAAUAGA